Molecule: non-coding RNA, 1106 nt
Organism: Phascolarctos cinereus (koala)
Lineage: Eukaryota; Metazoa; Chordata; Mammalia; Diprotodontia; Phascolarctidae
Source: RefSeq, a predicted model, not a curated record
UCAGAAGGAACACUUUCCUGUUUAUUUUUUCCCAAGCCUGGAAUCUGAGCAGACAUCCUCUGUUAUUUACAAUUUCUGCAUGACAGUAUUCUACUGCAGUUUGGUGCAUCAGGCAGAGCUUUGCGCCAGGAGUUAGGAGGAUUGGGCUCUAUCUCCAACUUCUGCCACUAACUUGCUAUGUGACCUUGGAAGCCGGACAUCUUUCCCCAUGAUCUGCUCUGGGAGGAACUGGAAAGAGAGACAGUAUGGGACCCUUGAAUAUUAAUAGAAAAAUUGGAUGAAGAAGAGAAAGUUUCAGAUGCUAAUACUACAUUGUGAGAGGUUUGUGGAAUUUGGCAUUAAGGAAGAGUCCUGGUGCUUGAAAAGAUUAAGAACCACUGACCUAACCCAAUCCCUUCAUUUUACAGAUGGGCACUCUGAAGCCCCCAGAGAUUAUUUUCCUGCUUGGAAGGAAGAAAGAUACGAACUCUACCAGUUUUUAGAGGAUGACAGUCCUCAGAUGCAUGAGAAAUAGCCUUGGGAGCUGGAGGACAGGAGGAGAUCUGAAGAUGGUGGAUGUAAUUAACACUGAUGCAGAGAGCAAGAGGAAGGGAACUCGGAGGCCAUCUGGUCCAGUCUCCUUAUUUUACAGCCCCACGGUAGAAGCUGCACAAGAGAAGACACUAUGACUAACUGAGGAACCAAGAUUUCUCACUGGGCCCUAAAAUCUUGUGGUGCCAUUUGUGGAGGAGAGAACUAUGAAUCUUUGCCUUCAGUGACCACCCCUACCACCCUCACUCCUUUCCAUAUGGUUUACCAGUGUGCAAAUGACCCUAGAAUAGGUUUGUAAAAAAAAUUAAAAGUGGGAUAGGAGAUGCAUAGGACCCCAUUCUUGCCUGGCACACAUCAGAGGCUUUAGGCACGUUGUCUACCUACACACUAGGUUUGCUUCAGGACCUGGAAGAAGAGACCUGGAGAACAACGGAGGUGUCCCUGGAAAUCAGUGAGGGAAGCCAAACCAUGGCUGUUCCCAAGGACUCUCUUAAGUCUUUCUUGGGAACGUGUGAGACAAAUGGAUUCUCCUCCUUCCUCCCCACUGUCUUCCCCACCAUCCUGCCUAAGCUUCC